GACGAACGCUGGCGGCGUGCUUAACACAUGCAAGUCGUACGGUAAGGCCCUUUCGGGGGUCCACGAGUGGCGAACGGGUGAGUAACACGUGAGUAACCUGCCCACAACUUUGGGAUAACGCUAGGAAACUGGUGCUAAUACUGGAUAUGUGCUCCUGCUGCAUGGUGGGGGUUGGAAAGCUCCGGCGGUUGUGGAUGGACUCGCGGCCUAUCAGCUUGUUGGUGGGGUAGUGGCCUACCAAGGCGGCGACGGGUAGCCGGCCUGAGAGGGUGACCGGCCACAUUGGGACUGAGAUACGGCCCAGACUCCUACGGGAGGCAGCAGUGGGGAAUAUUGCACAAUGGGCGCAAGCCUGAUGCAGCAACGCCGCGUGCGGGAUGACGGCCUUCGGGUUGUAAACCGCCUUCAGCAGGGACGAAGCUUUUUGUGACGGUACCUGCAGAAGAAGCACCGGCUAACUACGUG
Molecule: ribosomal RNA, 465 nt
Filed under: uncultured bacterium
Lineage: Bacteria
Description: partial 16S ribosomal RNA
Rfam family: Bacterial small subunit ribosomal RNA
Source: RNAcentral